This 227-nucleotide ribosomal RNA is filed under the name uncultured bacterium. RNAcentral's name for it is "partial 16S ribosomal RNA". It matches the Rfam family "Bacterial small subunit ribosomal RNA", at positions 114 to 334 of the family's 1533-position model. The record is from RNAcentral.
AACGUAGGUAACCUGCCCAUGUGUCUGGGAUAACUGCUGGAAACGGUAGCUAAAACCGGAUAGGUAUACAGAGCGCAUGCUCAGUAUAUUAAAGCGCCCUUCAAGGCGUGAACAUGGAUGGACCUGCGGCGCAUUAGCUAGUUGGUGAGGUAACGGCCCACCAAGGCGAUGAUGCGUAGCCGGCCUGAGAGGGUAAACGGCCACAUUGGGACUGAGACACGGCCCAA